AGUGAACGCUGGCGGUAGGCCUAACACAUGCAAGUCGAACGGCAGCACAGUAAGAGCUUGCUCUUACGGGUGGCGAGUGGCGGACGGGUGAGGAAUACAUCGGAAUCUACUUUUUCGUGGGGGAUAACGUAGGGAAACUUACGCUAAUACCGCAUACGACCUACGGGUGAAAGCAGGGGAUCUUCGGACCUUGCGCGAUUGAAUGAGCCGAUAUCGGAUUAGCUAGUUGGCGGGGUAAAGGCCCACCAAGGCGACGAUCCGUAGCUGGUCUGAGAGGAUGAUCAGCCACACUGGAACUGAGACACGGUCCAGACUCCUACGGGAGGCAGCAGUGGGGAAUAUUGGACAAUGGGCGCAAGCCUGAUCCAGCCAUACCGCGUGGGUGAAGAAGGCCUUCGGGUUGUAAAGCCCUUUUGUUGGGAAAGAAAAGCAGCAGGUUAAUACCCCGCUGUUCUGACGGUACCAAAAGAAUAAGCACCGGCUAACUUCGUG
Molecule: ribosomal RNA, 492 nt
Filed under: uncultured bacterium
Lineage: Bacteria
Description: partial 16S ribosomal RNA
Rfam family: Bacterial small subunit ribosomal RNA
Source: RNAcentral